CAGUGUGAAGUGUGCAAUUUUCUUAGUGCUGGGUUUGCAUCUGACUAAAGUAGGGAAAAUGUACAAAAUAAUUGUAAACUGGGAGAAGGUCGUGGCGGUAAGGAGGGGAAAAGUUUUCACCUGAAAACCCAGCACUCUUUGCCAUCUGAGAAGUCCCAGAAAUUUUCUAGACAAAACUGUUGGUCUGAGAUUUCACAGUUAACUUUGGAAGGCCUGAAGUGUAUAAGCUUCUCAGCUCGCAGAAAUCUGACUCCACUAUUUGUAAUACCAAAUUUUUUGAAGUUUCUCAGCCUUGAGAAUUAACUUGUCAACUGUGAAGAAGCUUCAAAUUUGUCUAUAAAUCAUUUUGCUGCAGGCUAAAAUUUGACAGGCUGUAGGUAAACACUUUUUCUCUGGUAAAAAAAAAAAAUAAGACCAAUACAUUACUAUUAUUUUUUCCCCUUUAGAAUAGAGCCUCUGAUGUCUCCAGUUUAUGACUACAGCCAAUUUUCUCCAAAUUACAGUGUGCUGUGUUCUUACAUUGCCAAGGUAAGUGAUCACCACGAGGCUGAGAACUGCAGGCAGACCUGUGGUGGCACCAUCUGAAAUUCAGCAAGGGAAUUAUUUCCAACCCAGAUUUCUGCUUGUGCUGAGCUGUGUCUCCUUCUCACCUGGGCAUUUCAGGAUUGUGAGCAGAUCCUGAGCCCCUCCCCACACGGGUGAGCUCUGUCCCUGCUGGACCCACCCUGACAAUUCCAGGCUGGAUUUCGAGGACGCCUCGCUGUGCCAGCGCUGCUGAUUUGCUGUUGAGGCUGGAAAUUUUUGACAAGUGACUCAUCCCUGUUCCAGCAACGUGUCCC
RNAcentral lists this long non-coding RNA (839 nucleotides) under Junco hyemalis (dark-eyed junco). RNAcentral's name for it is "lncRNA (ENSJHYG00000005649.1)". The record is from RNAcentral. Lineage: Eukaryota; Metazoa; Chordata; Aves; Passeriformes; Passerellidae.